This is a long non-coding RNA of Bactrocera latifrons, 1112 nucleotides long. RefSeq lists it as uncharacterized. The transcript has 3 exons. The record is from RefSeq and is a predicted model, not a curated record. NCBI's taxonomy places the organism in Eukaryota, Metazoa, Arthropoda, Insecta, Diptera, Tephritidae.
ACAUUAAGCCCAAGCUUUCUCUUUUGAAUUGGGAUCUGGUGGCUGUUAUGACCAAUCUAAAGUAGAAAUAUAGUAUUCUUGUUUUCAAUGUUCCAAAUCAUUUUCUUCUCGCAGUAUACACUUAUGGUUAGUUUUUUAUCAUUGUGCUGGCGUUCAGGUUUCCAUGAAGCACCUCAAAACAAAAAAAUGGAAGCACCAUUAAACAUGCACCUUUUGGAGGUGCUUAACACGCCUUUUUACACGCCUAUUAUUGGUCAAACACGGCUCAAGGUAUAGAACAAUGUAAAAGUUAAUAUAAUCCGUAAAUAUUAUAUUGUUCCAAUCACGAUUGAUGUAUUCCUGCGUCCUGUUUUUGAAAGAAGUGGUUUGAUUCCAGUACAGUUGCACUUGAUGACAGAUCUCUGAAAUGCCACAUCAUUCUUCCCUCAUUCUGGCUUGUUAUCUCCAUAAAGAUCAGACCAUCUCUUCAGAAAUGUGCACCUCGUAUUUAAAAAACCGCGGUAUUUUUAAUAGCCGUUUUGGAACCUUUAGGAUGUUUCGGCACGACGUGACACAAGAAGAUCGAACAAACCUAACCGAAUUGAGUAAAAUUUCUUAAUUUGCAUAAAAUAAAAACACUUUUUUGAACGAAAAGAAUGUAAAACCAAAAGGCAAAACCAUAUUAUUAAAAAUGGGAAUGAACAUUUUAAGAAAAAAAUUAAAUUUUAAGUGUGCUUAAAUCGGCUAUUAAUAGCGGCCACUUCUAUUUACAACAGGAUAACGACUCAAAACACCCAUCUUAUCUUGUACGUGCGUUAAAAAUAACUUCAUAGGUCCCGCAAUCAAGAUACAUUAGUCCUAUUCAAAAUAUCUGGAACUUUUUGGAAAAUCGUAUUCUAAAACAACGACAUCGAAAAUAAAAUAAGGCCAAAAUGUUAGAUCAUGGACUUAAAUGGGUCAAAAAAUCCGGAAAUAAUACUACAAAUUGACUACGGAGCAUUCAUCGAUGUCUAGGGAGAAUAAUUGCAAGAAAAUGUAGACCAAAAACCGCUAAAGCUAUUGUAAUUACUUUUGAUUUAUAUAAAUAAUCAUUAGUGUACUUAAACUCUUGAUAUAAAAUAUCCCCAUUUCAA